RNAcentral lists this ribosomal RNA (224 nucleotides) under uncultured bacterium. RNAcentral's name for it is "partial 16S ribosomal RNA". It matches the Rfam family "Archaeal small subunit ribosomal RNA", at positions 474 to 697 of the family's 1478-position model. The record is from RNAcentral.
UACCAGCACCCCGAGUGGUCGGGACGUUUUAUUGGGCCUAAAGCAUCCGUAGCCGGUUCUACAAGUCUUCCGUUAAAUCCAACUGCUUAACAGGUGGGCUGCGGAAGAUACUAUAGAGCUAGGAGGCGGGAGAGGCAAGCGGUACUCGAUGGGUAGGGGUAAAAUCCGUUGAUCCAUUGAAGACCACCAGUGGCGAAGGCGGCUUGCCAGAACGCGCUCGACGG